RNAcentral lists this ribosomal RNA (567 nucleotides) under uncultured bacterium. RNAcentral's name for it is "bacterial SSU rRNA". It matches the Rfam family "Bacterial small subunit ribosomal RNA", at positions 338 to 915 of the family's 1533-position model. The record is from RNAcentral.
CCUACGGGAGGCAGCAGUGGGGAAUAUUGCACAAUGGGCGAAAGCCUGAUGCAGCGACGCCGCGUGAGGGAUGACGGCCUUCGGGUUGUAAACCUCUUUCAGCAGGGAAGAAGCGAGAGUGACGGUACCUGCAGAAGAAGCGCCGGCUAACUACGUGCCAGCAGCCGCGGUAAUACGUAGGGCGCAAGCGUUGUCCGGAAUUAUUGGGCGUAAAGAGCUCGUAGGCGGCUUGUCACGUCGGGUGUGAAAGCCCGGGGCUUAACCCCGGGUCUGCAUUCGAUACGGGCUAGCUAGAGUGUGGUAGGGGAGAUCGGAAUUCCUGGUGUAGCGGUGAAAUGCGCAGAUAUCAGGAGGAACACCGGUGGCGAAGGCGGAUCUCUGGGCCAUUACUGACGCUGAGGAGCGAAAGCGUGGGGAGCGAACAGGAUUAGAUACCCUGGUAGUCCACGCCGUAAACGGUGGGAACUAGGUGUUGGCGACAUUCCACGUCGUCGGUGCCGCAGCUAACGCAUUAAGUUCCCCGCCUGGGGAGUACGGCCGCAAGGCUAAAACUCAAAGGAAUUGACG